CGACGCGCUCAGUGCUGCCAGUCGAUCUUUAGCCGUAGACUACGCAGCGUCGUAGCGUCGUGACGUAGACGUGUGUGCUGUGUUUUUUUUUUUACAUAAAAUAUACAACAUAUAUAUAAUACUUACCAAACUGUACACAAAAUAUAUAUAUAUAUAUAUAUAUAAAAAUAUUUUAGUACAGGAUCACGAUCUCACGACAUUCCGGCAUUUUCCACCUGAUUGUGUGCGGGCGGGUUAACGCCAUCUUGUACCACACGUUUUUUUGUUAUUUUGUUGUUAUUAUUACGGCAAUAAUUACCAACAAAUAAUUUAAAUACUAGUUAUAAAUAUUAUUAAUAAUAAUAAUUAAUAAUAAACUGUGGUGACACUACCGGAUAUAGUAAGUAGUGAAUUUAAUGAAUUUGUUUUGUGAAUAAAACCAAUUCCGCUUAUGUAUAAACGACACAAAGCGUCACUUCAUUUGUGGGUUUCUGGUUCUGGUUUAAAGUUUUUCAAGUGCCCGGAGUUAAUUAUUCAUGUUUAUUGUUUCAUUUUAUUUAAAUAAACUUUAAAGUUUUUUAUUGGAGCUGAAGCUGAUCUGUUCCUGGAAAGAAUAAAAAUAAAAAAU
Molecule: long non-coding RNA, 607 nt
Organism: Cotesia glomerata
Lineage: Eukaryota; Metazoa; Arthropoda; Insecta; Hymenoptera; Braconidae
Exons: 3
Source: RefSeq, a predicted model, not a curated record